RNAcentral lists this long non-coding RNA (215 nucleotides) under Mytilus galloprovincialis (Mediterranean mussel). The record is from RNAcentral. Lineage: Eukaryota; Metazoa; Mollusca; Bivalvia; Mytilida; Mytilidae.
GCUGAUUAUGAAAGGGUUUAUAAGAAUGAUUUAAAUCGGUCGUUGUUAUAUAUUUACAAUGUGGGGUUCAAAGUCUAAAUUAAUCCUAAAAAAUAACGAAUGCUUGCACGAUGCCUAAUUUACACACGGCGUUUAGAAUUUUAAUUAAGGCUAUAUGUCUUUAUGGAUAGUGAUUUUGGUCACAUCUUCUUUUUGGAGGGAAAUUUCUAUUGUUG